This 69-nucleotide transfer RNA is filed under the name Capsicum annuum. It matches the Rfam family "tRNA". Rfam says of the family: Transfer RNA (tRNA) molecules are approximately 80 nucleotides in length. Their secondary structure includes four short double-helical elements and three loops (D, anti-codon, and T loops). Lineage: Eukaryota; Viridiplantae; Streptophyta; Magnoliopsida; Solanales; Solanaceae. The record is from Rfam by way of RNAcentral.
GGGGAUGUAGCUCAGUUGGUAGAGCGCUUGCUUAGCGUGCGAGAGGUACGGGGAUAGACUGCAUCUCCA